RNAcentral lists this ribosomal RNA (496 nucleotides) under uncultured bacterium. RNAcentral describes it as "partial 16S ribosomal RNA". It matches the Rfam family "Bacterial small subunit ribosomal RNA", at positions 28 to 507 of the family's 1533-position model. The record is from RNAcentral.
GAUGAACGCUGGCGGCGUGCCUAAUACAUGCAAGUCGAGCGAACAGACGAGGAGCUUGCUCCUCUGACGUUAGCGGCGGACGGGUGAGUAACACGUGGAUAACCUACCUAUAAGACUGGGAUAACUUCGGGAAACCGGAGCUAAUACCGGAUAACAUGUGAACCGCAUGGUUCAACAGUGAAAGACGGUCUUGCUGUCACUUAUAGAUGGAUCCGCGCCGCAUUAGCUAGUUGGUAAGGUAACGGCUUACCAAGGCAACGAUGCGUAGCCGACGUGAGAGGGUGAUCGGCCACACUGGAACUGAGACACGGUCCAGACUCCUACGGGAGGCAGCAGUAGGGAAUCUUCCGCAAUGGGCGAAAGCCUGACGGAGCAACGCCGCGUGAGUGAAGAAGGUCUUCGGAUCGUAAAACUCUGUUAUUAGGGAAGAACAAAUGUGUAAGUAACUAUGCACGUCUUGACGGUACCUAAUCAGAAAGCCACGGCUAACUACGUG